Molecule: ribosomal RNA, 713 nt
Filed under: uncultured Chitinophagaceae bacterium
Lineage: Bacteria; Pseudomonadati; Bacteroidota; Chitinophagia; Chitinophagales; Chitinophagaceae
Description: bacterial SSU rRNA
Rfam family: Bacterial small subunit ribosomal RNA
Source: RNAcentral
ACCGGCAAACGGGUGCGGAACACGUACACAACCUUCCUUUUAGUGGAGAAUAGCCCAGGGAAACUUGGAUUAAUACUCCGUAACAUAUAGAAGUGGCAUCACUUUUAUAUUAUAGCAGCAAUGCGCUAGAAGAUGGGUGUGCGGCUGAUUAGAUAGUUGGCGGGGUAACGGCCCACCAAGUCGACGAUCAGUAACUGGUGUGAGAGCACGACCAGUCACACGGGCACUGAGACACGGGCCCGACUCCUACGGGAGGCAGCGGUAAGGAAUAUUGGUCAAUGGACGCAAGUCUGAACCAGCCAUGCCGCGUGGAGGAUGAAGGUCCUCUGGAUUGUAAACUUCUUUUAUUUGGGAAGAAACCCAUCUUUUCUAAGAUGGUUGACGGUACCAGAUGAAUAAGCACCGGCUAACUCCGUGCCAGCAGCCGCGGUAAUACGGAGGGUGCAAGCGUUAUCCGGAUUCACUGGGUUUAAAGGGUGCGUAGGUGGGCAAGUAAGUCAGUGGUGAAAUCUCCGGGCUUAACCCGGAAACUGCCAUUGAUACUAUUUGUCUUGAAUACUGUGGAGGUCAGCGGAAUAUGUCAUGUAGCGGUGAAAUGCUUAGAUAUGACAUAGAACACCAAUUGCGAAGGCAGCUGGCUACACAAAUAUUGACACUGAGGCACGAAAGCGUGGGGAUCAAACAGGAUUAGAUACCCUGGUAGUCCACGCCCU